UUUUCACUUUAAGCAUUUGAUGUUUUCUAUUUUCCCUUGUGAAGAAAAUACAUGGGUUUAAGAUUUACAAAUGAUAGAAUUCCUUUUUAAUUUGCACUUUACAGCAUCACAGAUUUCUAGGAAUCAAUCUUGUAUUAUUCUUGCCAUUGAUUUACAAUCUUGUGACUUAUGAUAAAUUACAAAAAAAAAGAACCCUUGACACAUUUGUGUGCCUGUGUCAGUCUUUCAAUCUUAAUGUUAGAGUUACUGCUCUCUUUUCUGACCUAUAUGUUAACUUAUUCUUGUACAGAACUUCUACUUGUAUAUAAAGAGUGACCAGAAACACAUGUCUAUGCUAAAAAGCCCACAGGGAAUGCAAACCUUCAACCCGGCCCAAAAAUAACUGACAGGUUCAGGAGACCAAAUGCUUGUAAAAUUCUCUUUACUCAACAGAACGUUAAAUCAUAGCAACAAGUCAGAGUCAAAUUAUCCAGGCAUUGCCAAACUUUCAAAAACUCCUUUAUCUUAUGUCUUCCCACAUAAGUUCUGACAUUAUAUUCCACAAUCAGAAUAAUGAUCAAGUAUAUAUUUUAUUUUAUUUUAAACAAAGGAAGCCAAGGUAGCUUGUUCUGCCAUUAAAUGACCGAUGAGGAGAGAAUGUGAACCUGCAGUGCUGCUUGUAUUCCGUCCAUGCAGUGGAAUCAGUGUGACUAAUGAAGAAUUACAUUCAGAAAAAUAAAUGUUUCUCUGUCCUUCCCUCCCUUAAAUUCUCUCCAAGCCCAGUGUCUGAUAUAGCUUAAACAAAAACCUUAACUGAAGACCAUGUUCAGUGUGGUAAAAGCUUGCACAAUGUUAAAAAGUAUGCGAAUCUGAGAUAUGACAACAUUCACAAUGGGAAUGAUGGGAAACAUGCGGUUUGGGGGGUUUAAAGUAAGGGAAAUCUAAUUUGUACGUUAAGUACCUAAAAGUGAAUUAAUAUUCUCAUUUGUGCUCCAGUUCAUCUACAGGUUGUUCCUCUAUCACUGCCUUUCCUCUCCAACAUUGUGUUCCACCACACUGAACAUUGUCCACAUUAUC
This is a long non-coding RNA of Astatotilapia calliptera (eastern happy), 1056 nucleotides long. NCBI's taxonomy places the organism in Eukaryota, Metazoa, Chordata, Actinopteri, Cichliformes, Cichlidae. The record is from Ensembl.